This is a long non-coding RNA of Neopelma chrysocephalum (saffron-crested tyrant-manakin), 171 nucleotides long. RefSeq lists it as uncharacterized. Lineage: Eukaryota; Metazoa; Chordata; Aves; Passeriformes; Pipridae. The record is from RefSeq and is a predicted model, not a curated record. The transcript has 3 exons.
GGCCCAGCUCAGUAAGAGCCACCACAAACACACCAAGGCACAGUGCAAGAGCAAGGAGGAGGUGAUGGCCGUGCGGCUGCGCGAGGCCGACAGCAUGGCCGCCCUGGCUGAGAUGAGGCAGCGCGUGGCCGAGCUCGAGAUACAGCGGGAGGAGGGGCGGAUCCAGGGACC